UGGGAAACUGGGGAUAAUACCCGAUGGUCCUCGGCUGCUGGAAUGCCUCGAGGACGAAAGCUCCGGCGCCUAAGGAUGGGUCUGCGGCCUAUCAGGUAGUAGUGGGUGUAGCGUACCUACUAGCCUACGACGGGUACGGGUUGUGAGAGCAAGAGCCCGGAGAUGGAUUCUGAGACACGAAUCCAGGCCCUACGGGGUGCAGCAGGCGCGAAAACUUUACAAUGCUGGCAACAGCGAUAAGGGAACCUCGAGUGCCAGGUUACAAAGCUGGCUGUCGGGAUGCCUAAAAAGCAUUGCAGAGCAAGGGCCGGGCAAGACCGGUGCCAGCCGCCGCGGUAACA
RNAcentral lists this ribosomal RNA (341 nucleotides) under uncultured archaeon. RNAcentral's name for it is "partial 16S ribosomal RNA". It matches the Rfam family "Archaeal small subunit ribosomal RNA", at positions 133 to 475 of the family's 1478-position model. The record is from RNAcentral.